UGAGGAAUAUUGGACAAUGGGCGCAAGCCUGAUCCAGCCAUGCCGCGUGCAGGAAGACGGUCCUAUGGAUUGUAAACUGCUUUUGCACAGGAAGAAACACUCCCUCGUGAGGGAGCUUGACGGUACUGUGAGAAUAAGGAUCGGCUAACUCCGUG
RNAcentral lists this ribosomal RNA (155 nucleotides) under uncultured bacterium. Its description in RNAcentral is "partial 16S ribosomal RNA". It matches the Rfam family "Bacterial small subunit ribosomal RNA", at positions 355 to 507 of the family's 1533-position model. The record is from RNAcentral.